AUUUAUCGCUGGCGGCAGGCCUAACACAUGCAAGUCGAGCGGUAGAGAGGAGCUUGCUCCUCUUGAGAGCGGCGGACGGGUGAGUAAUGCCUAGGAAUCUGCCUGGUAGUGGGGGAUAACGUUCGGAAACGGACGCUAAUACCGCAUACGUCCUACGGGAGAAAGCAGGGGACCUUCGGGCCUUGCGCUAUCAGAUGAGCCUAGGUCGGAUUAUCUAGUUGGUGAGGUAAUGGCUCACCUAGGCGACGAUCCGUAACUGGUCUGAGAGGAUGAUCAGUCUCACUGGAACUGAGACACGGUCCAGACUCCUACGGGAGGCAGCAGUGGGGAAUAUUGGACUAUGGGCGAAAGCCUGAUCCAGCCAUGCCUCGUGUGUGAAGAAGGUCUUCGGAUUGUAAAGCACUUUAAGUUGGGAGGAAGGGCAGUAAAUUAAUACUUUGCUGUUUUGACGUUACCGACAGAAUAUGCUCCGGUUAACUCUGUGCCAGCAUCCGCGGUAAUACAGAGGGUGCAAGCGUUUAUCGGAAUUACUGGGCGUAAAGCGCGCGUAGGUGGUUUGUUAAGUUGGAAGUGAAAUCCCCGGGCUUCACCUGUGGAACUGCUUUCAAAUCUGACUGACUAUAGUAUGGUAGAGGGGGGUGGAAUUUCCUGUUGUAGCGUUGAAAUUGCUUAAAAUAGGAAGGAACCCCCGUUGGCGUAGGCUACUACCUUGUACUAAUACUGACACUGAGAGGCUAAAAUCGUGGGGAGCAAACAAGAUUAGAUACCCGUGAAGUCCACGCCGUAAAACGAAGUCAACUAGCCGUUGGAAGCCUUGAGCUUUUAAUGGAGCAGUUUCAGCAUUAAGUUGACCGCCAGGGGAAGUACGGCCGCAAGGUUAAAACUCAAAUGAAUUGCAGUGGGGCCCGCACAAGCGGUGGAGCAAUUUGGUUUAAUUGGAAGCAACGCGAAGAACCUUACCAGGCCUUGACAUCCAAUGAACUUUCUAGAGAUAGAUUGGUGCCUUAGGGAACAUUGAGACAGGUGUUGCAUGGCUGUCGUCAGCUCGUGUCGUGAGAUGUUGGGUUAAGUCCCGUAACGAGCGCAACCCUUGUCCUUAGUUACCAGCACGUCAUGGUGGGCACUCUAAGGAGACUGCCAGAGACAAACCGGAGGAAGGUGGGGAUGACGUCAAGUCAUCAUGGCCCUUACGGCUUGGGCUACACACGUGCUACAAUGGUCGGUACAGAGGGUUGCCAAGCCGCGAGGAGGAGCUAAUCCCACAAAACCGAUCGUAGUCCGGAUCGCAGUCUGCAACUCGACUGCGUGAAGUCGGAAUCGCUAGUAAUCGCGAAUCAAAAUGUCGCGGUGAUUUCGUUCCCGGGCCU
This 1367-nucleotide ribosomal RNA is filed under the name uncultured bacterium. Its description in RNAcentral is "bacterial SSU rRNA". It matches the Rfam family "Bacterial small subunit ribosomal RNA", at positions 28 to 1381 of the family's 1533-position model. The record is from RNAcentral.